AAUUUUAAAUCAAUUAUUUUUUUGUGAUACCUAGCUACUGUUUUUUUUAGCGUGUUUACUUUCGUGGCCAACCAAAAUAGGUGACAAAAAAUCGGAAAAAAUUGACGUCGCUUGGCAGUUUCUUAAUAAAUUAAUGAUAAAAACCUGCUCAUUCAGUUCGAAAGUGCCCGCGGCCUGAUCUGUUUGAAUAGAAGCGCUGCCGUGGAUGCAACUUUGACGCGAGUGAGAAAACCUCCGCUCGGCCACCGGGAAAACCGUUGCUGCUUCAGUCAACCAGAAACAACCGGAAUUGUAAAAGAUGACCGAAAACGGACCAGUCGAACCUGCGGCCACUACCAGAGAUGUGAAAAACAUCGAAACGCGAUUGAGGAUCGUAAACGAGACUUGCAGCAGCAAGAUUGAUGCGAGAGAAGCUAAAAUACCGUGAAGAGCCGAAACAAGCAUUUAGUGAAUGUAUUUUAAUUAUUAAGUUCAAGAACAUAUUAGUGUAUAAAAAAGUGUUCAAAGUU
RNAcentral lists this long non-coding RNA (509 nucleotides) under Aedes aegypti (yellow fever mosquito). Its description in RNAcentral is "lncRNA AAEL025063". The record is from RNAcentral. Lineage: Eukaryota; Metazoa; Arthropoda; Insecta; Diptera; Culicidae.